UUGGACAAUGGGCGAAAGCCUGAUCCAGCCAUGCCGCGUGUGUGAAGAAGGUCCUCGGAUUGUAAAGCUCUUUCACCGGAGAAGAUAAUGACGGUAUCCAGAGAAGAAGCCCCAACUAACUUCGUGCCAGCAGCCGCGGUAAU
This 143-nucleotide ribosomal RNA is filed under the name bacterium enrichment culture DGGE band C4. Its description in RNAcentral is "partial 16S ribosomal RNA". It matches the Rfam family "Bacterial small subunit ribosomal RNA", at positions 364 to 524 of the family's 1533-position model. The record is from RNAcentral.